This 1348-nucleotide long non-coding RNA is filed under the name Sus scrofa (pig). RNAcentral describes it as "lncRNA (ENSSSCG00005039358.1)". Lineage: Eukaryota; Metazoa; Chordata; Mammalia; Artiodactyla; Suidae. The record is from RNAcentral.
GCCGAGCAAAGAUGGAGAGGAGGUCCCAGCCCCCGGGGCGCGGUGUUGCGCACGCGGGGGAGCUGGGCCGGGGAUAUGCGCACGUGUGCGCACGCGGCGGACAGGGACUAGGGGUGCACGUGCGUAUAUAAGCACCUGGGGAGGGGGACAGAAGCUGAGGAGGUGUGCACCUGUGCAUGUACACGGGUGUGUGCGCAUCCGGGGAAUGGGGGGUAGGAGUGUGUAUACACGUGUGGGCACAUGAGGAACAGGGGCAAAGUGUGCAGGUUUCCACCUGGCCGCGGACGGUUUCCCAAUUUAACCGCUUUUAUGCUGAUCACGCCCACUCUGCUUCUCCAGUAAAGCCCCUCCCGGCCUAAGACUGUUCACACCUUAGCGCUGGUUUCUUGAAGGGAGCAGAGAUCUUCGCGUUCUUUCUCUUCAGUACGCGGCACUCAGAGAAACCGGGAUCCAGGAGGAAGAGGCACAUGGAAGUUCCUGGGCAAGGCGUCGAAUCUGAGCUGCAGCUGCUGGCCUACACCACAGGCAACGCCGGAUCCUUAACCCAGUGAGCAAGGAGAGGAAUCGAACCCAUAUCCAGCCAUUUUCUGUUUUCCACCGCAGCGAUGAUGACAAGAGGAUGCAGAAAUUGCCAGGCAGGGGAUUGAACCCACACCACAGCCGCAACCCGAGCCACUGCGGUGACAACACAAAUCCUUAAGCUGCUGAGCCACAGGACUCCAGGAUCAGUCAAUCUUAAGGACUCACAUGACUACUUACAGGCUGAAGCCACAGUCCUUUGAGAAGCUCCCCUUGGACCCGACAGCUUCUAGAAGAUCACGGCACCCAGUCUCCCCAGAUGUCUCCUUCCGGCCUCGUUUGCUACUUGAGCGCCCGUCUCUGCUCUUCCUCCGAAACGCCCACCUUGGCCAGGAGAGUAAUUCCUUUCAUCCCCUGACCACCAACCCUGCCGUCCAGCGCGGUGUCCUUCUGGGUGAUUUCAUGUUGCUGAGAUGACAUCGGGCUGUUUUUUAUGGAACCCCACAACGGAAGGUCCGAGGUCCUUCUCCUCGUGUCAUUUCCCUCCUCAGUAGAACCCAUGACCAUCGGCCAGGAGGGAAAGUGCCAGGAGCCAACAGCACGAUUUUGGGAAACUUGAUUUUAUGUUCAACCGAAUGCCUCUGCUCACGUCCCUACUGCUGUCCCCUUACCUCGCCGAGUCAGAGAAGGGCCCUGCAGCUUACCCGCUGCAAUGAGGCUGGGGUGACCUCGGGAGGUCAAUGAGCUCGGAUGAGUGAUCUCAGCUCCUCUCUGGCUCAGAUUUCUUUAGCUGAGAAAUAAGAAAAUAAAAAAUAAAGUUCUUUAUAAG